RNAcentral lists this ribosomal RNA (587 nucleotides) under Salmonella enterica subsp. houtenae. Its description in RNAcentral is "partial 23S ribosomal RNA". It matches the Rfam family "Bacterial large subunit ribosomal RNA", at positions 161 to 688 of the family's 2925-position model. Lineage: Bacteria; Pseudomonadati; Pseudomonadota; Gammaproteobacteria; Enterobacterales; Enterobacteriaceae. The record is from RNAcentral.
AAUCCAUAGGUUAAUGAGGCGAACCGGGGGAACUGAAACAUCUAAGUACCCCGAGGAAAAGAAAUCAACCGAGAUUCCCCCAGUAGCGGCGAGCGAACGGGGAGGAGCCCAGAGCCUGAAUCAGCAUGUGUGUUAGUGGAAGCGUCUGGAAAGGCGCGCGAUACAGGGUGAGAGCCCCGUACACAAAAGCGCACGUGCUGUGAGCUCGAUGAGUAGGGCGGGACACGUGGUAUCCUGUCUGAAUAUGGGGGGACCAUCCUCCAAGGCUAAAUACUCCUGACUGACCGAUAGUGAACCAGUACCGUGAGGGAAAGGCGAAAAGAACCCCGGCGAGGGGAGUGAAACAGAACCUGAAACCGUGUACGUACAAGCAGUGGGAGCCCCACCACUAAGCCAGUGGUGAACUCCACAUACGCAUCCUUUGCUGAGGAUGCGGUUAACGGAGCGAAAGCGACGUUCAACCGCAAAAGAAGCAGAGGGGGCUUAGUGGUGGGGUGACUGCGUACCUUUUGUAUAAUGGGUCAGCGACUUAUAUUCUGUAGCAAGGUUAACCGCAUAGGGGAGCCGGAGGGAAACCGAGUCUUAAC